Molecule: ribosomal RNA, 448 nt
Filed under: uncultured bacterium
Lineage: Bacteria
Description: SSU rRNA
Rfam family: Bacterial small subunit ribosomal RNA
Source: RNAcentral
AGAGCGAACGCUGGCGGCAGGCCUAACACAUGCAAGUCGGGCGCCCGUAGCAAUACGGGAGCGGCAGACGGGAUAGUAACACGUGGGAACGCGCCCUUCGGUUCGGAAUAACUCAGGGAAACUUGAGCUAAUACCGGAUACGCCCUUACGGGGAAAGAUUUAUUGCCGAAGGAACGGCCCGCGUCCGAUUAGCUAGUUGGUGAGGUAAUGGCUCACCAAGGCGACGAUCGGUAGCUGGUCUGAGAGGAUGACCAGCAUCACUGGGACUGAGACACGGCCCAGACUCCUACGGGAGGCAGCAGUGGGGAAUAUUGGACAAUGGGCGCAAGCCUGAUCCAGCCAUGCCGCGUGGAUGAUGAAGGCCUUAGGGUUGUAAAGUCCUUUUAACGGGGAAGAUAAUGACGGUACCCGUAGAAUAAGCCCCGGCUAACUUCGUGCCAGCAGCCGC